AACGCGAAGAACCUUACCCAGACUUGACAUCCUUGGAAUUACUGUGAAAACAGUGAGUGCCUUCGGGAGCCAAGUGACAGGUGAUGCAUGGCCGUCUUCAGCUCGUGUCGUGAGAUGUUUGGUUAAGUCCAUUAACGAGCGCAACCCUUAGUGUUAGUUGAAUUUUUCUAACACGACUGCCUCGGUAACGGGGAGGAAGGUGGGGAUGAUGAUAGGUCCGUAUUUCCCUUACGUCUGGGGCUAGAAACGUGAUACAAUGGCCGGUACAAAGCGCAGCGAAGUCGCGAGAUGGAGCAAAUCGCAUCAAAGCCGGUCCCAGUUCGGAUUGUAGGCUGAAACUCGCCUACAUGAAGUCGGAAUCGCUAGUAAUCGCAGGUCAGCACACUGUGGUGAAUACGUUCCCGGGCCUUGUACACACCGGAGUGC
Molecule: ribosomal RNA, 426 nt
Filed under: uncultured bacterium
Lineage: Bacteria
Description: bacterial SSU rRNA
Rfam family: Bacterial small subunit ribosomal RNA
Source: RNAcentral